UGAGGAACAUGACCUUCGGCGGGGGAUAACCGGCCCAACGGCCGGGUAAUACCGCGUACGACCACAUGGGGACAUCCCUGAGUGGUGAAAGCAGCAAUGCGCCGAUGGAGUGCCUCGCGGCCUACCAGCUAGUUGGUGAGGUAACGGCUCACCAAGGCAACGACGGGUAGCUGGUCUGAGAGGAUGGCCAGCCACAUUGGGACUGAGACACGGCCCAGACUCCUACGGGAGCAG
Molecule: ribosomal RNA, 234 nt
Filed under: uncultured bacterium
Lineage: Bacteria
Description: partial 16S ribosomal RNA
Rfam family: Bacterial small subunit ribosomal RNA
Source: RNAcentral